Molecule: ribosomal RNA, 244 nt
Filed under: Escherichia coli
Lineage: Bacteria; Pseudomonadati; Pseudomonadota; Gammaproteobacteria; Enterobacterales; Enterobacteriaceae
Description: partial 23S ribosomal RNA
Rfam family: Bacterial large subunit ribosomal RNA
Source: RNAcentral
AUCGUACCCCAAACCGACACAGGUGGUCAGGUAGAGAAUACCAAGGCGCUUGAGAGAACUCGGGUGAAGGAACUAGGCAAAAUGGUGCCGUAACUUCGGGAGAAGGCACGCUGAUACGUAGGUGAAGCGACUUGCUCGUGGAGCUGAAAUCAGUCGAAGAUACCAGCUGGCUGCAACUGUUUAUUAAAAACACAGCACUGUGCAAACACGAAAGUGGACGUAUACGGUGUGACGCCUGCCCGGU